RNAcentral lists this ribosomal RNA (404 nucleotides) under uncultured bacterium. RNAcentral's name for it is "partial 16S ribosomal RNA". It matches the Rfam family "Bacterial small subunit ribosomal RNA", at positions 28 to 526 of the family's 1533-position model. The record is from RNAcentral.
GACGAACGCUGGCGGCGUGCCUAAUACAUGCAAGUCGAACGCAGUGGGGACGGGUGAGUAACAAGUGGGUAACCUCCCAUCAGAGGGGAUAACACUUGGAAACAGGUGCUAAAAACGAUACUGAUGGAUGAAGCCGCGGUGCAUUAGCUAGUUGGGGGGGUAACGGCUCACCAAGGCCACGAGGCAUAGCAGAGCUGAGAGGGUGAUCUGCCACACUGGGACUGAGACACGGUCCAGACUCCUACGGGAGGCAGCAGUAGGGAAUCUUCGGCAAUGGACGCAAGUCUGACCGAGCCACGCCGCGUGAGUGAAGAAGGUUUUCGGAUCGUAAAACUCUGUUGUUAGAGAAGCGGUAUCUAACCAGAAAGCCACGGCUAACUACGUGCCAGCAGCCGCGGUAAUAC